AGCAAUUAAACAUACUGGACGAGUUUGGGGAAUUGAUUUCACAUGAUGGAAGUUGUAGUUCACCCUGCAUCACGUCAGAGCACUGUGACCCCGACUGACAAUGGACCUGGUACUACAGGGGUUUGUAAACUGCUUUGAGUCCCCCCAGGGGUGAGAAAAGCUAUAUAAAUAAACAAAUAAAUUGUGGGAAUUGAUAUUGGGAGUUGUAGUUCACCCUUAUCCACAGAGCCAUGAACCCAGCCGACAAAUAACUCAGCCGUCAAAUGCCAGGUCCCCAAGUAGUAGUAGUGCUUGAAUGUAACUGUUAGACCCUUGUAACCGUAGAUAAUGUGAUUUAAUUAUGUAAUUUGUCUUUUCAGCCAGGUGUUGGGGGCACCUGCUUCACCACAUAUCUUAUCCAAGAAAAAAGGAAAGACAGCAGAGUCAGCAUUCUGAGAAGCAAAGAUCUCAACAACUGCACAGAUAAAGUUGUGAAAGAUGUUGGAAUGACCUAUGUGAGGCCUUGCCCCACAUGUCCAGUGAAUAUCACAAACACAAGAGGGACUGUGGCAUUCAACUACAACCUGAAACGUACAGACACUGGAUCUCUGAUUAUACAAGCUGAAUCCCAGCAAAUUUAUGAGAUCUCCCCAUUCAAUGAAUUUCAUGGUACUGCUGUUAUGGUGGCAAGGUAUGUUUGAUGAGUAGCAUUGAAUCAGUAUUGUCACUAGGACUAUGUUCUUGUUCAGAUAUGAAUGUGUGCUCUCCCUCUCCCAUUGCUACUGAGAGGUGAAAAUGUGAACCAUAGAAAUUGGGAUGGAAGUGAAAAGAAAUAAAUUCUGGUUUUCAUAUUUGCUCUUCAACGUUACCUUCACACAUGAAGGAAAACACUUCAUACUGUUGUCAUCUAGUGAGUACAUUAAGAUUAAAAAUAGUCCUUGGGUUUUUGUUUUUCAGUUGAGACAAGGCAGAACAUGAGUCCCAUACUGGGAGAAAGGAUACACAGCCCAACCAAAAAGAAUUCUUGGUGUUGUGGUUUUCAGGCCUAUUCCUGGGGUUAUUUGGGGCACUGAUUCAGUAAAGUGCAUUGGAUAGACUGUAUCAGCUCUAGUUUUUAGAUACAGCUAUCAUGGUUUUGUAUGGGUGAGCAAAUGGCAUCUAAGUAAAAGUAAAGGUUGUCUAGUUGUGUCUGACUCUGGGGGUUGGUGCUCAUCGCCUUUUCUAAGCCGAAGAGCCAACGUUGUCAUAAACACAUCCAAGGUCAUGUGGCUGGCACAGAGGAGGUCCAAGGUAAUUUUCAAGUGUAGGCGAACAGAAAUUCCCCCCCCCCCCCAAAAAAAACAAAACCAAUCACUGUAAAAUAAAAGCGUUGAUCCUGGUCAUGACAACACACAAAUUAUUAUUAUUAUUAUUAUUAUUAUUAUUAUUAUUAUUAUUAAGAUCCAAAGGAGCAGGGUGUGAAAAUAGUUCACAUUCCAGGAUCCCAUCCCAGGCUUUUUAUGUUUAACUGGAUUAUACGAGUCCACACUGCCAGAUAAUCUGGGAUAAACAGAAAAUUUCUGAUUAGAUCCUGGGAUAUAGGUCCUGUCUCGAAGGGCCCUAAGUGGCCUAUAAACUUUGACAAACUGGGAUUCCUUCUGCAUGCUACAGCAGGCAGAAAUGCAAAUCAUGGGUCAGUUGAGCAACAUGACAAGGAAGUAAAGAGAGAGGGCCCUUGCACACAGCCAUAUAACCCAGAAUAUCUACUUUGAACUGAGUUAUCUGA
Molecule: long non-coding RNA, 1744 nt
Organism: Anolis carolinensis (green anole)
Lineage: Eukaryota; Metazoa; Chordata; Lepidosauria; Squamata; Anolidae
Source: Ensembl